RNAcentral lists this ribosomal RNA (597 nucleotides) under Salmonella enterica. RNAcentral's name for it is "partial 23S ribosomal RNA". It matches the Rfam family "Bacterial large subunit ribosomal RNA", at positions 1104 to 1701 of the family's 2925-position model. RNAcentral also lists the same sequence under 3 other names. The record is from RNAcentral. Lineage: Bacteria; Pseudomonadati; Pseudomonadota; Gammaproteobacteria; Enterobacterales; Enterobacteriaceae.
GCUUAGAAGCAGCCAUCAUUUAAAGAAAGCGUAAUAGCUCACUGGUCGAGUCGGCCUGCGCGGAAGAUGUAACGGGGCUAAACCAUGCACCGAAGCUGCGGCAGCGACACUGUGUGUUGUUGGGUAGGGGAGCGUUCUGUAAGCCUGUGAAGGUGGCCUGUGAGGGUUGCUGGAGGUAUCAGAAGUGCGAAUGCUGACAUAAGUAACGAUAAAGCGGGUGAAAAGCCCGCUCGCCGGAAGACCAAGGGUUCCUGUCCAACGUUAAUCGGGGCAGGGUGAGUCGACCCCUAAGGCGAGGCCGAAAGGCGUAGUCGAUGGGAAACGGGUUAAUAUUCCCGUACUUGGUGUUACUGCGAAGGGGGGACGGAGAAGGCUAUGUUGGCCGGGCGACGGUUGUCCCGGUUUAAGCGUGUAGGUGUGUGUUCCAGGUAAAUCCGGUUCACUUUAACACUGAGGCGUGACGACGAGGCACUACGGUGCUGAAGCAACAAAUGCCCUGCUUCCAGGAAAAGCCUCUAAGCAUCAGGUAACAUCAAAUCGUACCCCAAACCGACACAGGUGGUCAGGUAGAGAAUACCAAGGCGCUUGAGAGAACUC